UGCCUUACACAUGCAAGUCGAACGGUAACAGGCCGAAGGUGCUGACGAGUGGCGAACGGGUGAGUAAUGCAUCGGAACGUGCCCAGUAGUGGGGGAUAGCCCGGCGAAAGCCGGAUUAAUACCGCAUACGACCUGAGGGUGAAAGGGGGGGAUCGCAAGACCUCUCGCUAUUGGAGCGGCCGAUGUCAGAUCAGCUAGUUGGUGGGGUAAAGGCCUACCAAGGCAACGAUCUGUAGUUGGUCUGAGAGGACGACCAGCCACACUGGGACUGAGACACGGCCCAGACUCCUACGGGAGGCAGCAGUGGGGAAUUUUGGACAAUGGGCGCAAGCCUGAUCCAGCAAUGCCGCGUGCAGGAAGAAGGCCUUCGGGUUGUAAACUGCUUUUGUCAGGGAAGAAAUCUUCUGGGUUAAUACCUCGGGAGGAUGACGGUACCUGAAGAAUAAGCACCGGCUAACUACGUGCCAGCAGCCGCGGUAAUACGUAGGGUGCGAGCGUUAAUCGGAAUUACUGGGCGUAAAGCGUGCGCAGGCGGCUUUGCAAGACAGAGGUGAAAUCCCCGGGCUCAACCUGGGAACUGCCUUUGUGACUGCAAGGCUAGAGUACGGCAGA
RNAcentral lists this ribosomal RNA (612 nucleotides) under uncultured bacterium. RNAcentral describes it as "bacterial SSU rRNA". It matches the Rfam family "Bacterial small subunit ribosomal RNA", at positions 45 to 655 of the family's 1533-position model. The record is from RNAcentral.